This 286-nucleotide ribosomal RNA is filed under the name Maribacter sp. SL4. Its description in RNAcentral is "partial 16S ribosomal RNA". The record is from RNAcentral. Lineage: Bacteria; Pseudomonadati; Bacteroidota; Flavobacteriia; Flavobacteriales; Flavobacteriaceae.
UUACGGUACCGUCAGUAAGCUACACGUAGCUCUUUUUCUUCCCGUAUAAAAGCAGUUUACUACCCAUAGGGCAUUCUUCCUGCACGCGGCAUGGCUGGAUCAGAGUCUCCUCCAUUGUCCAAUAUUCCUCACUGCUGCCUCCCGUAGGAGUCUGGUCCGUGUCUCAGUACCAGUGUGGGGGAUCCCCCUCUCAGGGCCCCUACCCAUCGUAGCCAUGGUAAGCCGUUACCUUACCAUCAAGCUAAUGGGACGCAUGGCCAUCUUAUACCGCCCGAAGGCUUUAACC